GUAAAUUUGUAAUUAGCAAAUUAGAACAAGUUUUGAUAAAAAUAAAACAAAAGUGGUCAUCUUCUCUAAUGUUUCUUUUCCACCGAAAAACACCAUAGUAGAAGGAAUUUAAGCUUCGGUUGUGGAAUGUCUUGCAUAUCAAGAAACGAGUAAAGUGGGUGUUAACCGAGGGAAGGAGAAAGUUGUCGAAUAAUCAACUCCGAUCAACGGAAGCAAACGUAAUUUUAGUUAGGUACUUAACUUUGAUUGUCAACUCAGCAUCCAAAGAUAAACCUGAAUCAACGUUGGUGAUGUACUCUUUUUGUGUCUUGGCAUGUACUUAAGAUGUUAAUAGUUUUAGAAAUGGUCAUUUUGUGUAUUAGUUAGUUUUGUGAAGGUUAUGUAUGUUUGUUAUGUGAAUUUGGGCUAUGUUUUGUAUUAGUUGAAAAUACUUGUGUAUAUGGUUGAUGAUAUAUGUUAAAUGAAAUUGGUUCUUUUGGAA
Long non-coding RNA from Gossypium raimondii (Peruvian cotton), 481 nucleotides. RefSeq lists it as uncharacterized. NCBI's taxonomy places the organism in Eukaryota, Viridiplantae, Streptophyta, Magnoliopsida, Malvales, Malvaceae. The record is from RefSeq and is a predicted model, not a curated record. The transcript is spliced from 3 exons.